CUCGAGGUGUGGUGGGAAGGAACUGUCUGGGUCCUCACUUGACACCUGCACCUUAGCCUGGCUCCAAGGGAAAGUCCUCAACUCAGGUGGCUGAGAAAAGCAGAUGUUCCCUGCAGCAAAGUGUAAAGCAUUUGCUUGGGGGUGGGUGGGGUGGAACGGGAAUGUUUUAUGAGUCUUUGGCUGGGACUUUCAGAUUUGAAUGUUAUACAAAGGAAGUCAUCUGGUGGCAGAACAAAUGAUCUCAGCAGACUUCUCUAUGUGAGGGGACCAAUUUUGUCAUUGGGGCUGGAGAACCUGUUUUGCCAUGUGUCAUUUUAAGUCAGAAAGACUCUGGGAGUUUCUGGAGCCAUUUCGGGAACGUCAGAUGCAUAGUUGGUCUACCCAAGGGAAUGGUUCACUAAAACCAGAUGUAGCCGCUUGGGAGAAGAAGGCUCAGUCCAGUCCCAUCUUCUUUCCUGUUUAGGAGAACUGGAGAUAGUAAGUGGGGAUGUCUAAACAAAGGCUCCUACCCUAAUAAAACAUUCAUAAAAAUGCCA
RNAcentral lists this long non-coding RNA (536 nucleotides) under Monodelphis domestica (gray short-tailed opossum). RNAcentral's name for it is "lncRNA (ENSMODG00000040988.1)". The record is from RNAcentral. Lineage: Eukaryota; Metazoa; Chordata; Mammalia; Didelphimorphia; Didelphidae.